RNAcentral lists this transfer RNA (66 nucleotides) under Charybdis japonica (shore swimming crab). RNAcentral describes it as "tRNA-Glu". The record is from RNAcentral. Lineage: Eukaryota; Metazoa; Arthropoda; Malacostraca; Decapoda; Portunidae.
GUUUUUAUAGUGUAGUUAACACAUUACAUUUUCGUUGUAAAACCGAAAUAGUUAUUUCUAAAAACU